This 7515-nucleotide long non-coding RNA is filed under the name Sparus aurata (gilthead seabream). RNAcentral describes it as "lncRNA (ENSSAUG00010011581.1)". Lineage: Eukaryota; Metazoa; Chordata; Actinopteri; Spariformes; Sparidae. The record is from RNAcentral.
UAAUAUUUUGUAAACGUGUGUCAAGGACUUACCUGGUUUUACAGGUUGUGUGAAAGUGGUGACUGGCACUGUUGCCUCGUCACUUCCUCCACUGCUGAGGCAGGAGUCAUAUGUUUGAGGUCGAGGAAUAAUACGUUUGGCUGUGUCUGGAGCGGUGACAGGUAACACCCGUCAUCAUGGGAAGAAAACUCUUUUGUUGGAUAUUACUGCUUGGACAUGCUGUCUCUGCACAAGCUCAAAGCACCACUACUGCAGCUCCAACUACAACAACUACUGCAGCUCCAACCACCACAACUACUGCAGCUCCUACCACAACUACUGCAGCUCCAACCACCACAACUACUGCAGCUACAACUACAACCACUGCACCCUCAACCACCACAACUACUGCAGCUCCAACCACAACAACUACUGUAGCUCCAACAACAACAGCUACUGCUGCUCCAACCACAACAACUACUGCAGCUCCUACCACCACAACUACUGCAGCUCCAACCACCACAACUACUGCAGCUCAAACCACCACAACUACUGCAGCUCUAACCACAACAACUACUGCAGCUCCAACCACAACAACCACUGCAGCUCCAACCACCACAACCACUGCAGCUCCAACCACCACAACUACUGCAGCUCCAACCACAACAACUACUGCAGCUCCAACCACCACAACUACUGCAGCUCUAACCACAACAACUACUGCAGCUCCAACCACCACAAUUACUGCAGCCCCAACCACAACAACUACUGCAGCUCCAACCACAACAAUUACUGCAGCUCCAACCACCACAACUACUGCAGCGCCAACCACCACGAUUACUGCAGCUCAAACCACAACAACUACUGCUGCUCCAACCACAACAACUACUGCAGCGCCAACCACCACAAUUACUGCAGCUCAAACCACAACAACUGCUGCAGCGCCAACCACAACAACUACUGCAGCGCCAACCACCACAACUACUGCGGCUCCAACCACCACAACUACUGUGGCUCCAACCACAACAACUACUGCAGCUCCUACCACAACAACUACUGCAGCUCCUUCCACAACAACUACUGCAGCUCCUACCACCACAAAUACUGCAGCUCCAACCACCACAACUACUGCAGCUCAAACCACCACAACUACUGCAGCUCUAACCACAACAACUACUGCAGCUCCAACCACAACAACCACUGCAGCUCCAACCACCACAACCACUGCAGCUCCAACCACCACAACUACUGCAGCUCUAACCACAACAACUACUGCAGCUCCAACCACCACAACUACUGCAGCUCUAACCACAACAACUACUGCAGCUCCAACCACCACAAUUACUGCAGCCCCAACCACAACAACUACUGCAGCUCCAACCACAACAAUUACUGCAGCUCCAACCACCACAACUACUGCAGCGCCAACCACCACGAUUACUGCAGCUCAAACCACAACAACUACUGCUGCUCCAACCACCACAACUACUGCAGCGCCAACCACCACAAUUACUGCAGCUCAAACCACAACAACUGCUGCAGCGCCAACCACAACAACUACUGCAGCGCCAACCACCACAACUACUGCGGCUCCAACCACCACAACUACUGUGGCUCCAACCACAACAACUACUGCAGCUCCUACCACAACAACUACUGCAGCUCCUUCCACAACUACUGCAGCUCCAACAACCACAACUACUGCAGCUCCAACCACCACAACUACUGCAGCUCCAACCACAACAACUACUGCAGCUACAACCACCACAACUACUGCAGCUACAACCACCACAACUACUGUAGCUCCAACCACCACAACUACUGCAGCUCCAACCACCACAACUACUGUAGCUCCAACCACCACAACUACUGCAGCUCUAACCACAACAACUACUGCAGCUCCAACCACCACAACUACUGCAGCUCAAACCACAACAACUACAGCAGCUACAACCAGCACAACUACUGCAGCUACAACUACAACCACUGCACCCUCAACCACCACAACUACUGCAGCUCCAACCACCACAACUACUGUAGCUCCAACCACCACAACUACUGCAGCUCCAACAACAACAACUACUGCAGCUCCAUUCACCACAACUACUGCAGCUCUAACCACAACAACUACUGCAGCUCCAACCACCACAACUACUGCAGCUCCAACCACCACAACUACUGCAGCUCUAACCACAACAACUACUGCAGCUCCAACCACCACAAUUACUGCAGCUCCAACCACAACAACUACUGCAGCUCCAACCACAACAAUUACUGCAGCUCCAACCACAACAACUACUGCAGCUCCAACCACCACAAUUACUGCAGCUCCAACCACAACAACUACUGCAGCUCCAACCACAACAAUUACUGCAGCUCCAACCACCACAACUACUGCAGCGCCAACCACCACAAUUACUGCAGCUCAAACCACAACAACUACUGCAGCUCCAACCACCACAAUUACUGCAGCUCCAACCACAACAACUACUGCAGCUCCAACCACAACAAUUACUGCAGCUCCAACCACAACAACUACUGCAGCUCCAACCACCACAAUUACUGCAGCUCCAACCACAACAACUACUGCAGCUCCAACCACAACAAUUACUGCAGCUCCAACCACCACAACAACUGCAGCGCCAACCACCACAAUUACUGCAGCUCAAACCACAACAACUACUGCAGCUCCAACCACCACAACUACUGCAGCUCCAACUACCACAACUACUGCAGCGCCAACCACCACAACUACAGCGGCGCCAACCACCACAACUACUGCAGCGCCAACCACCACAACUACUGUGGCUCCAACCACAACAACUACUGGGGCUCCUACCACAACAACUACUGCAGCUCCUACCACAACUACUGCAGCUCCAACAACCACAACUACUGCAGCUCCAACCACCACAACUACUGCAGCUACAACCACCACAACUACUGCAGCUACAACUACAACUACUGCACCCUCAACCACCACAACUACUGCAGCUCCAACUACCACAACUACUGCAGCUCCAACUACAACUACUGCACCCCCAACCACCACAACUACUGCAGCCCCAACCACCACAACUACUGCAGCCCCAACCACCACAACUACUGCAGCUCCAACCACCACAACUACUGCAGCUCCAACCACCACAACUACUGUAGCUCCAACCACCACAACUACUGCAGCUCCAACCACCACAACUACUGCAGCUCCAACCACCACAACUACUGCGGCUCCAAACACUACAACUACUGCAGCUACAACCACCACAACUACUGCAGCUCCAACCACCACAACUACUGCAGCUCUAACCACCACAACCACUGCAGCUCCAACCACCACUACUACUGCAGCCCCAACCACUACAACUACUGUAGCUCCAACCACCACAACUACUGCAGCUACAACCACCACAACUACUGCAGCUUCAACUACAACUACUGCACCCCCAACCACCACAACUACUGCACCUCCAACUACCACAACUACUGCAGCUACAACUACAACUACUGCACCCCCAACCACCACAACUACUGCACCUCCAACUACUACAACUACUGCAGCUACAACUACAACUACUGCACCCCCGAUCACCACAACGACACCUAUCACCCUGACCACCAUGACUACAACCACACCAGUAAUCACCCCAAACCAAGGUUUGGAGGCAGUGGCAAUUCUUCAGGUGAAGUUAACUUCAAUCGGUGUUAUCAGCAAUGGAACCAUUACUCAUCUUGUUGAACAGGUAUGGCUCUCCCGCCAAUAUUAUGAAUGAUAAUCUGUAUUAAUUUAGAGAGUGCAGUGAGGGGAAUGAGAUAAAUCUUGUGUUGUUUAUUGUCUGUUUUCUUUUGUUUCAGUUUGUGAGGGGGCAGCUCUUGAAUGGAACCAACCACACCACAGUCAGUGUGACAAACAUUCAAAGGGUUAGAGUCGUCCCAUAGAAGCGUCAUGCAACUGCAAGUAAAAUUGAAUGUAUGAAGAAAGCAAUUCAAGGGGGUGCUGACUGUAUUAAUAAAAUGUCAUCUUCAUCUCAACUACACUGCAGAGGCUAAGAUUUUAGACUGUCUCCCCUGUGCAUCUUUAUCAUCAUUUUGUUCUAUUAAAUCUCAAAAACAAAACAAAGAGAGAGUCAGAAAAAGUCAACAUUAAGAUCCAUUUUCGCUCUCUAUAGUCCCCAAACAAUAUUUUCAUCAUUACACUGCUGGCUGUGUUUCCCAUGUGAAUGGAAAUGCCAUUUAUCUCAAGUGUUCAGUAGCGAAGAAAGGCUCAAACCAAGCAAUCUGAUGCAUCAAAGAGGUUUCUUAAGAAGUGUCAGUAAUCCAAAUACUUUGUAACUGGAGCUGCUUCACUGAGAAGCUUGGCAACCAGGAAACUACCAUGCUGUUGUGUAAUAGUUGCAAGACAGUUUACUGAUUUGGCAACGAUGACUUUGCCUCAUACCAUUUGCAUAGGGUAUAUAUAUAUGUAAUCCGGGAAGUGAAUUAAGUAUUUUUUCCUAUACGUUACAGCUGUGUCUCCUGGAUGUGUCUCCAUUCAAUCCUCUUGAGACUCAUGAUUGUCCAUGGUUAAGUUUGGUUUUGCUCUCUGUUUCAGUGUGGUCAAACCUGCUUUUCCUGGUCAUGAGCUAACUAGUGGAAAGUACUGAAAUGUAUAUAGAUUGUGACAUAUUAAAGCAGGAUAAACGUUUGUUGAUCCUGAACUUGGACCAGUAUGGCUAUUAUGUUACUGCAAGGGAAUGCAGCAAUACUAAGUGAGAAAAAAAAAGGCAAUGCAGCAAUGAUUUUUUAAAUUAUUUAUUUGUAUACCUGCUGAUUGAUGUUUUUUCUUCUAUCACUGAUUAGAAAAUUGUUUUCAAAUGGUUAUUUUUGCAUAAAAUUUUUUUUUGUUGUUUUUUAGAUGUUUAGAUUUCAUUAUUUUUGAAAAUGAUUAUUAGGUGAAAUUCUGUCUGUAUCUCCAAUCGGACUUUUCCCUUAAAAGGCACAAUAUGCAAGAACUGGCCACUUGUUGAAUUUAUAUUCUAAAAAAAUAUGCAUAUUUCCUGAGUAACUGCUAACUGAUGUUGCCAUUUGCUUGUUAGCUUCAAGCCCCAAGAAGGAGCGCUGGACUCUGAAGUCAGUUUUCAUAGUGGCCAAACCGUGUAAUUACAUGGUCACGUGAUGCGCUAUUUUAUCCUCAUUCAAGUUUGCUGGGUGUCAAGGUGGACUCUUGAUGCUAAAGAAAACACAGACACCAAUAAUGAUUCCAAUGUCAUUAAUAUAUUGGCUGAUAAACUUGGAGUUUAUCACAGCUGGAACCACCUGUCAGAAUGAAACAAUCAUUUUGGACCGACAAACAUUUUAAAAUUAUUAAUUUACAAUCAUGUUUUAAGGAAAAGAGAAUUUUAUUUUGCACCUUUCUACAAGCUCUGUAGAUGUAUUACUUUUAAGAAAAUGAUUUGUCUACAUAAAAUUUUUUAUCAAUUUAAGACUAGAUGUAUGACAUAAUAUGCACAGUUGCAUUGUUCCAUGUUGUAUUAUGCCCUUCUGAAGGAUGAAUAAAGAGACGUGUAUUUGAGGUGCCAUUCUUGUCUUGUUUAAUAGAUCCUCUGAAAAUAAACUUUAUUCAACAUUUGAUUUGAGAGCAUAUAUUAUAUAUUAUUUGUUGAGAUCCACCUUACAAGAUUAUGUUAAAAAGACAAAACACGAUAAUAUCAAGUGAAAAUUUGCCAUCAGUUGUGUUCAAUUUUUCUUCAAUAUUUGAAAUUAUAAACAUCAGCAGAGACACGAUGCAAGACAUUCUGUGAGACGUUAAAAAGAUGCAGUCUGUAAAUGUUGAAGGUUCAUGACUUUGGAACCUGCGUCAAUGGUGUUUUGGAAUAACUGUUAAAAGGAUAAGAUAAAACAUGGACGACAGUGUUAAGAAUUCAUGAGGGUUGCCUGAAAGUACAGUCGUCACUACCAUUCUUAUUUUACAAAGGCUAAAACUCUCUUCUCUUUCUUCUGCUCUUCUUAAAGACAUUAUUGUUCCCGUGGCAUUUCUAGAUUUACACUGAUAUUUCACACCUGACGGAGAACAAAGCUUCAAACAAUAAAACAGCAGAGUUUAGGCUUUAACUGAACCGACAAACAGGAGCGCUUCCGGUUUAUAAACCUGUCCUCGCUGGUGGGCGGCUGUCCUCGCCAUCUCCUUCUGUCUGAAAACGUGAAGGAUGGUGCGUGGCUUAGUUCAGCAACAUUAACAUCCUAAGUUUCAAGUCACUCGUGCAGCUGUCCUCCCAGCUGAUCAUCUUUGUCCGUGCAGCUCUCUGUCCUGGCCUCCGGACAGAACUCCUUCCUUUAAAAAGAAUCAACACAUUCAGGAAAAUCAGUUAAACGGUUUAUCAUUUAAAAAAAUGUUUUGUCGUAGGAAGAGCUCACGCUUCUUACCUGUUCACCUCAGGUGUCUUGCUUGUUGAUCUCGCAGAUUCUGCCUGCUGAGAGAAGAGUGUUUUAACUUUUGUGGAAGAAAUAUUUAAAAGAUAAAAGAUCCCAUCCAUACAUGUUUUUAGGCAUACUAAAGGUUUCUAAUGUGUGUCUGAAAAUAAUAAUAAUAAAAUAUAUAUAAAUAUACAAAAUGUUAAUUGUAUAUCAUGGCAGAUGAUUUUAAAUUUUUAAUCAAAUCUUAAAAUUUGUGAUUUUCACACUGCUGCUUUGGCACAUACCAUCUGAAAUAGCAUGUACAGCAAGAAUCACACUCUUCAAAUGUGGUACAGAGAUGGAUUCCAUUGCGAACUCAAGUGGAUUAAAUAUGAAAAUGGUCAAGUCACAUUGUUGGAGUAAAUACGGAGCAGCUGUGGUUUACCUGUGGGUAGUCCUGGUGGCUGAGGAUAUACAGAGCACCAUGUCCGGAGAUCCUGACCACCUGCUCUCCAGUCCAGCCUCCUGCAGGGGUGUCUGGGACGUACAACACCGUGGAACCGUGCAAACACUUCAAGCCAGAAACCAUAAGAUAUAAAUGAACAAAAGAAAAUGUAGAGGAAUCUGAGGGAAACUUUAUUAUAGAUAAACUUAAUCCUAAAUUCAACAUAAAUUUGAGGACCAGCUCUUAAUUCUUAGAACACAACAGAACAGGAACAAGUAAAUUAUCUAUAUGCUCAAGUCAAACUAUCUGAACACACACUGACCUGUAGAUAUGUGAAGGAGAACCUUUGGCCCGCCCGUUUCACAAAACGCCCCCAGAAGAGCAAAGCCAGCCGACUCUGUACCUGAUUGGCCGUCCAACCGCAGUCAAUGGUGAUGCGAGCGGUCAUCCCCAUGGCCGCUAGAGCUGCUUGUUCUUUGCCCUGUGGAACAGUGUGCCUGGAAUAACGGAAAGGAAUGUUUACUUUAUCGAGAUAUUUUUAUUGGAUAGUCUAAAAUCUGUAAACAUCAGCCAUGUAUGAAUACGUCAUCUGUCACCAGAGGACAUGGUCUCAAAUUACCAUGUGAAAACACACUGCGAAACUCAUUACUUCAGAGAGAUAACACAAGCUUGCUCUCACCGCAGGAGAGAUGGCCCUCCAAACUGUACACUAGAAUACG